CCUACGGGUGACAGCAGUGGGGAAUAUUGGGCAAUGGGCGAAAGCCUGACCCAGCAACGCCGCGUGAAGGAAGAAGGUUCUCGGGUUGUAAACUUCUUUUGACAGGGAAGCGAAGAAGACGGUACCUGUCGAAUAAGCCACGGCUAACUACGUGCCAGCAGCUGCGGUCAUACGUAGGUGGCAAGCGUUGUCCGGAUUUACUGGGUGUAAAGGGCGUGUAGCCGGGCUGACAAGUCCGAUGUGAAAUCCGGGGGCUCAACCCCCGAACUGCAUUUGAAACUGUUGGUCUUGAGUAUCGGAGAGGCAGGCGGAAUGCCUGGUGUAGCGGUGAAAUGCGUAGAUAUUAGGAGGAACACCGGUGGCGAAGGCGGCCUGCUGGACGACAACUGACGGUGAGGCGCGAAAGCGUGGGGAGCGAACAGGAUUAGAUACCCCGGUAGUC
This 442-nucleotide ribosomal RNA is filed under the name uncultured bacterium. Its description in RNAcentral is "partial 16S ribosomal RNA". It matches the Rfam family "Bacterial small subunit ribosomal RNA", at positions 338 to 795 of the family's 1533-position model. The record is from RNAcentral.